Molecule: unclassified non-coding RNA, 302 nt
Organism: Dipodomys ordii (Ord's kangaroo rat)
Lineage: Eukaryota; Metazoa; Chordata; Mammalia; Rodentia; Heteromyidae
Gene: 7SK
Rfam family: 7SK RNA
About the family: 7SK was discovered as an abundant small nuclear RNA in the mid-70s but a possible function has only recently been suggested. Two independent studies have found that 7SK RNA binds the CDK9/cyclin T complex (known as elongation factor P-TEFb). P-TEFb activates transcription by phosphorylating the C-terminal domain of RNA polymerase II.
Source: Ensembl
GGAUGUGAGGGUGAUCUGGCUGCGACAUCUGUCUCCCUAUUGAUCGCCAGGGUUGAUUCGGCUGAUCUGGCUGGCUAGGCGAGUGUCCCCUUCCUCCCUCACCGCUCCACGUGCAUCCCUCGCAAAGCUCCGUGCUCGGUCGAAGAGAACGACCAUCCCCAAUAGAGGACUGGUCUUCGGUCAAGGGUAUACGAGUAGCUGCGCUCCUCUGCUAGAACCUCCAAAGAAGCUCUCAAGGUCCAAUUAACCAGCAAAAAGCUAGAAGUAGAGGUAUGGCUCAAGUGGCAAGAGCACCAGCCUUG